This 442-nucleotide ribosomal RNA is filed under the name uncultured bacterium. RNAcentral describes it as "partial 16S ribosomal RNA". It matches the Rfam family "Bacterial small subunit ribosomal RNA", at positions 338 to 795 of the family's 1533-position model. The record is from RNAcentral.
CCUACGGGUGGCAGCAGUGGGGAAUAUUGGGCAAUGGACGCCAGUCUGACCCAGCAACGCCGCGUGAAGGAAGAAGGCUUUCGGGUUGUAAACUUCUUUUAAGGGGGAAGAGCAGAAGACGGUACCCCUUGAAUAAGCCACGGCUAACUACGUGCCAGCAGCCGCGGUAAUACGUAGGUGGCAAGCGUUUGCCGGAUGUACUGGGUGUAAAGGGCGUGCAGCCGGGGAGACAAGUCAGUUGUGAAAUCCACGGGCGCAACCCGUGGACUGCAUUUGAAACUGGUUCCCUUGAGUGUCGGAGAAGUAAGCGGAAUGCCUGGUGGAGCGGUGAAAGGCGUAGAUAUAAAGAAGAACACCAGUGGCGAAGGCGGAAUACUGGACGAUAACUGACGGUGAGGCGCGAAAGCGUGGGGAGCAAACAGGAUUAGAUACCCGGGUAGUC